GAGGGUAUAGCUCAAGUGGUAGAGCGCAUGUUCAGCAUGCAUGAGGUCCUGGGUUCAAUGCCCAGUACUUCCU
Transfer RNA from Camelus ferus (Wild Bactrian camel), 73 nucleotides. It matches the Rfam family "tRNA". Rfam says of the family: Transfer RNA (tRNA) molecules are approximately 80 nucleotides in length. Their secondary structure includes four short double-helical elements and three loops (D, anti-codon, and T loops). The record is from Rfam. NCBI's taxonomy places the organism in Eukaryota, Metazoa, Chordata, Mammalia, Artiodactyla, Camelidae.